Molecule: transfer RNA, 71 nt
Filed under: Propionibacteriaceae bacterium
Lineage: Bacteria; Bacillati; Actinomycetota; Actinomycetes; Propionibacteriales; Propionibacteriaceae
Description: tRNA-Cys
Rfam family: tRNA
About the family: Transfer RNA (tRNA) molecules are approximately 80 nucleotides in length.
Source: RNAcentral
GGCGGAGUGGCCGAGUGGUUAGGCACCGGAUUGCAAAUCCGUUAACGCCGGUUCAAUUCCGGUCUCCGCCU